GAUCCUGGCUCAGGAUUAACGCUGGCGGCGUGCCUAAUACAUGCAAGUCGAAUGGUAGCAAUACCAUGGCGAACGGGUGAGUAACACGUAGGUAACCUGUCUUUAAGCCGAGGAUAACCAUUGGAAACGAUGGAUAAUACUGGAUAGGACAUUUGAAGGCAUCUUUAGAUGUUUAAAGAUUUAUCACUUAGAGAGGGGCCUGCGGCGCAUUAGCUAGUUGGUGAGGUGAAGGCUUACCAAGGCGAUGAUGCGUAGCCGGACUGAGAGGUUGAACGGCCACAAUGGAACUGAGAACGGUCCAUACUCCUACGGGAGGCAGCAGUAGGGAAUUUUCGGCAAUGGGCGGAAGCCCUGACCGAGCAACGCCGCGUGAACGAAGAAGUAUUUCGGUAUGUAAAGUUCUUUUAUUAGGGACGAAAAGACAGAUUGACGGUACCUAAUGAAUAAGCUCCGGCUAACUACGUGCCAGCCGCCGC
This 476-nucleotide ribosomal RNA is filed under the name uncultured bacterium. RNAcentral's name for it is "bacterial SSU rRNA". It matches the Rfam family "Bacterial small subunit ribosomal RNA", at positions 15 to 518 of the family's 1533-position model. The record is from RNAcentral.